AAGGGACUGCCGGUGACAAACCGGAGGAAGGUGGGGAUGACGUUAAAUCAUCAUGCCCCUUAUGACCUGGGUACACACGUGUACAAUGGGCAGAACAAAGGGCAGCGAAACCGCGAGGUUAAGCCAAUCCCACAAAUCUGUUCUCAGUUCGGAUCGCAGUCUGCAACUCGACUGCGUGAAGCUGGAAUCGCUAGUAAUCGCGGAUCAGCAUGCCGCGGUGAAUACGUUCCCGGGCCUUGUACACACCGCCCGUCACACCACGAGAGUUUGUAACACCCGAAGUCGGUGAGGUAACCUUUUUGGAGCCAGCCGCCGAAGGUGGGACAGAUGAUUGGGGUGAAGUCGUAACAAGGUUGCCGU
RNAcentral lists this ribosomal RNA (360 nucleotides) under Bacillus amyloliquefaciens. Its description in RNAcentral is "bacterial SSU rRNA". It matches the Rfam family "Bacterial small subunit ribosomal RNA", at positions 1143 to 1503 of the family's 1533-position model. The record is from RNAcentral. Lineage: Bacteria; Bacillati; Bacillota; Bacilli; Caryophanales; Bacillaceae.